Long non-coding RNA from Hemicordylus capensis (graceful crag lizard), 925 nucleotides. RefSeq lists it as uncharacterized. The record is from RefSeq and is a predicted model, not a curated record. The transcript is spliced from 4 exons. NCBI's taxonomy places the organism in Eukaryota, Metazoa, Chordata, Lepidosauria, Squamata, Cordylidae.
GUUUCCUUGAACUGAAUUGAAUUUGUGCUGCCUCUUCGGCCAAGCUACCAACUAAUCAGGCUAAGGGGCUUGUACUGCUGUGCUGGAAUUCAACAGCGGGGUGAGGAAACUUCAUGAUUACACACUACUGGAGGAGCUGGGAGGUAAAUUGCUGAAGGAGCUAGAGAAUGGGAGAGUGGAAGAACUGAGGUGGCCAAGAACAAGGAAUUCUUCUUCUAGUGCAUACUCAUGAGUUGCUGCUGGUGUGAGGACACCUGUACCAAACACCAACACAGUUAUGGAUUCAGAUUCUCCUCAUUUACAAUUGUUUUGGGGAAAAGCCCCCAGAAGGAAGCAGAAUAAAAAAUCAAGCUGAAUUGUACGGUCCGAAUGAUCACCAUCUAUUAUUGAUAUGAAGCCUGCCAAGGGAUUGAACUGAAAAGAUGCAAAUACCAAUAGAGCCCAGAAUCCUUCCUGCUGGGAAUAACGCAAGGAGAGUUUUCCACAAGCAAUUUAACAUUCUUCAUGUAUGCAACCACGGCGGCCAGAACAGUAUACGCACAGAAAUGGAAGGACAAUGAACUGCACUCAAAAGAAGAUUGGCUGAUAAAAAUUUUGGAAUACGCAGAGAUGGCAAAACUUACAGUACUGAUAAGAGAUCAAAAUUUGGAAGGUUUUACAGAAGAUUGGAAACCAUUUUUACUGUACUUAAAGAACUAUUUUCCUAAUAUUGAUUUUUCAACAGGGUUUGAAAUUUAGCAAUAUUAGCAGGUUGAGUAGACUAAAACCGAGUUUGGUAAGGUAUAGGAUAUAUGUUUUGAAUUAUUAUAGCAAGGGUUAAUUGUAUAAUUAGUGAUUCGCGCUGAUUAGUGAGCUGGAAGUCAAUUUUGUUUAAUGUUUGAUGUAAUGAGAUUCUUAAGAUGUUAAAAUCAAUAAAAAAUUUAAA